AGUGAACGCUGGCGGUAGGCCUAACACAUGCAAGUCGAACGGCAGCACAGUAAGAGCUUGCUCUUACGGGUGGCGAGUGGCGGACGGGUGAGGAAUACAUCGGAAUCUACUUUUUCGUGGGGGAUAACGUAGGGAAACUUACGCUAAUACCGCAUACGACCUACGGGUGAAAGCAGGGGAUCUUCGGACCUUGCGCGAUUGAAUGAGCCGAUGUCGGAUUAGCUAGUUGGCGGGGUAAAGGCCCACCAAGGCGACGAUCCGUAGCUGGUCUGAGAGGAUGAUCAGCCCAACUGGACCUGAGAACCGGUCCAGACUCCUAGGGGAGGCAGCAGGGGGAAAUUUUGGACAAGGGGGGCAAGCCUGGACCAGCCAUCCCGGGUGGGUGAAGAAGGCCUUCGGGUUGUAAAGCCCUUUUGUUGGGAAAAAAAAGCAGCAGGUUAAUACCCCGCUGUUCUGACGGUACCCAAAAAAUAAGCACCGGCAAACUUCGG
Molecule: ribosomal RNA, 491 nt
Filed under: uncultured bacterium
Lineage: Bacteria
Description: partial 16S ribosomal RNA
Rfam family: Bacterial small subunit ribosomal RNA
Source: RNAcentral